AAUGGGAUGAAAGGCUGAAGAGCAGGGAGCUUCAUGACUUCCGGUCAUGGAUCGCAGAGUUACACCAUCUCGAGAACAUUCGCAUCCCUCGCUGCUAUAAAGCGAAUCUUUCGACAGAACCUACUGCGUACGAGCUCCACGUAUUUUGUGAUGCUUCGGAGUCAGCUUUCGGAGCAGUGGCGUAUGUCAGAAUGACAACUCUGAUUCCAAAGGGGGAGAAGGCAGCCACGUGCGCCUUCAUAAUGGCAAAGACAAGAUUAGCACCCCUAAAGCAGCUUUCUAUUGCACGGUUAGAACUUCAAGCGGCAGUGCUGGCCUGCAGGCUAGCCGCGUCCGUCAAGCGAUCUAUGACGUACAAAUUCGAUCGCUCCUUUUACUGGACUGACAGCAAAAUUGUGCUUGCAUAUAUACAACAUGAGAGCCGUCGCUUUCAUACCUUUACAGCAAACCGUGUUUCAGAAAUUCAUGAUCUAUCAGACUGUAGUGACUGGUACCAUGUUCCUGGACACCUAAAUCCAGCUGACGCCUGCUCACGUGGUGCCUCAGGAGCGACACUCAGUGAUCUUCUUUCAUGGUGGGAGGGUCCAGACUUCUUAAAGGAGACCUCGACGAUGUGGCCAUCACAGACCAGCCCGCCGUCGCACCUCAGUUGUUCUGAUCCGGAGGUGAAGAAUUCACAGCAUGUUCUGAGCACUCAAGUACACCAAACAGUGUUGCCCGAUCCAGUUCGCUUUUCUUCAUGGCUCGAAUACACGAGAAUAGUGGCUUGGGUAAACAGGUUCAUGAACAACUUAAAGGCUGCUGUCAAGGGGGAAGAAAAAAUAUUGACUUCACUGAACGGCGGUGAGAUCGAGGCUGCGAUCAUAUCAAUUAUCAAAGAAUCACAAAGGAAGUGUUAUAUGAAAGACAAAGAUGCACUAAAUUCUAGCGGCUCAGUGGGGUCGGCGAGCCGGUUAUUGGAUUUAUCGCCUUUCUUGGACGACAAUGGACUCCUUCGAGUUGGCGGUCGCCUCUCGCACGCUCCUGUCCCUGACGCAGCUCGCCAUCCAAUAAUAUUGAGCAGUGGCGAUGAAGUGACUCGCCUGGUCGUACACGACGCUCAUAGACGGAUGUUGCACGCUGGAGUGGAUCAAACACUGAGCGCGCUUCGCAGUCGAUACUGGAUCCCAAGAGGCAGGGCAACUGUUCGACGCAUGCUUCACGCAUGCGCCUUCUGUCGCAAUCGGAGAGCGAAGCCCUGCCAGCCGAAGAUGGCAGAUUUGCCGCGCCAUCGAUUCCACGCGACGCGUCCCUUCAAAGCUGUGGGCUUGGAUUUCUUUGGCCCAUUACACGUUAAAAAAUUUAGGAAGAUUGAAAAGCGAUGGGUUCUUCUCAUAACCUGCCUCAGCACCAGAGCGAUUCACCUAGAACUGGUGGAGUCCAUGGACACUGAUAGUUUCUUGAUGGCUCUAAGGCGCUUCUUCGGUCGCAGAGGCAAGCCUUCCGUUGUCUUCUCAGAUAAUGGGUCAAAUAUUUCAGCUGGCGAGAAGGAGCUGAAGAGUCUCAUCGAACAAUGGAAUCAGUCACAGAUUAUGGAAAAAUUGAGCCAGGACCAAAUCGAAUGGCACUUCAAUCCUCCCACAGCGAGCCACAUGGGUGGAGUGUGGGAACGUCUAGUUGCUUCUGUGAAAAGAUCUCUGAGAGUGGUGCUGGGCAAUCAAGUUGUCUCAGGAGAAGUGCUAUCCACUGUGCUGGUUGAGGUUGAAAGUGUUCUCAACUGCAGGCCAAUAACAUACUGCAGCGGUGACGCAAGAGAUCCCGAGCCUCUAACACCCAGUCACUUCUUGCUUGGCUCCGCAGAGUCGGUUUUACCUCCCGGCAUGUUCAAUGACUCGGAAUUACUGAGUAAGAAGAGGUGGCGACACGCUCAAGUCCUUGCGAACCAUUUCUGGCAAAGGUGGAGGAAGGAAUAUCUGCCUACACUGAUUCGCCGCGAAAAGUGGAACAGCGAAUCUGAGAACCUUCAAGAAGGGGACGUUAUCCUCAUGGUGGAUGAUCAAGCCCCACGGGGGUACUGGCCUCUGGCGACUGUCACACGCACCGUACCAGGCGAGGACGGCCGAGUCCGUUCGGUGGAAAUCAGAACUGGAAGCGGUCUGACGUACCACCGACCAGUCAACAAAGUGUGCUUCCUUGAAAGACUUGAGUAAUUUCCUGGCUUCAACGAUGCAUGACUGCCAAGAAAGCUAGUGGUUCUUCCUAACACCCUUUCACUAACAUGUACACGCAAGCGCUGAGAUAGGUAUGCUCACGUACCCAUUUCUCUGCAUAUACUUCCCAUAUAGCCUGUGCAGCCCACCAACUGAUCGAUCACCCAACUGCCCGCCCGGAGCACGCAUGGACCUGCAUGGGCGCGGCGACUGCGACGCAGCCAGCCGGCAGCUGGGACGGAGAGGCACGGCGCCGGCACCACGAGGGCUGCUCACGGGAGGACCUAGCAAAAUUGAGCCGGUGGAGGAGCUGACUGAAUGCCGCCGCUGAUAUCAGCCGGCGAUGACUGCUACGGACUGUUAUGGACAGUUAUCACUGGAUGUGGCCCCUCAUCGCCACCGAAGUCCGACUGGGCUGCUGCCGCUCACUUAGGGAGGGGUUCCCUCUGUUCCCGUUCGGCUGUUAUCGACUGCAGCAGUCGGAUGCCGGACAUGCUUGGACAUGCCGGACAUGAACAUAGAACACUGGUGGAUAAGCACUACAGAGUGACAUGUGUUAACGAUUGGACAAUGCAUGGUUUAAGUGGCAUAUCGCGUUCCUGCGCAUACGGAACUCUGGUGGGGGAGGGUGUCGUAACUACGAGUGUUUUGACGCGGAGGCAUGCUUGCUAACGCGCGAGAAUAGCUUUGAAAUUUUACUGACAACGUUUUUAUAUGUUCAUGAUAAAAAUCAGCACGGCUUGGAAAGAAUGUAGGCAAAUGUUUCAGUUUAUACUUUAUACUGCAUUUACAAUGAUGUAAUUUAAGUUGAGAGUGGCGAGAAAUUGAAGAUGUAAUUUAAGUUGAGAGUGGCGAGAAAAUGAAUGGAAUAAGUUGUAUAGCCGAAACGAUCGAUCGAUGUCACCGAACCGAAACGUCACCGAUAUGAACCGAGGUCAACGUUUGAAACCGCUAAAUACAUCGUGGAUCAGGGCU
This is an RNA transcript of Amphibalanus amphitrite, 3164 nucleotides long. RefSeq lists it as uncharacterized. The transcript has 2 exons. The record is from RefSeq and is a predicted model, not a curated record. Lineage: Eukaryota; Metazoa; Arthropoda; Thecostraca; Balanomorpha; Balanidae.